AACAGGGAUUCUUCCUUGAGCGCUGAUGUGAACAAGCACAGGACAGACCCAGCAUCAGAUUUCAGUAUCUGCUGCCAGCCAGAUGUCCGUGCAGGUGCUCUGGCCCUUCCGUUCUCUCUGAGAGCUUGCUGCUCUGAGUGGGAUGUCAGGUUUUAGCUUAUUCAUCUUUUCUGUUUGAUCUCUCUAGAAGAAAGUAGCCACCACGGUGCUGAGAGCUGCUGCUGAGUCAAACCAGAGAGGUUCAGUCUGAGUUUCAAACACCCAUAACACAUCUGACAGGCAAGGUUUGGCAGGUACUGAACAAGCCAAAGCUUCCCCAGGUGCCAGGAUACAGUUUACAUUUAUUUCAUAACACAUUUUACCUCCCACAUGGGCAGUACCCCCCCAUUAAGAGCUGUAGCCCGCUGUAGCUCUACCUUGUGGAAUACUCUUAAGUGCAAAUAGAACCACUUGGAAUGGGACAAGAGGUUGCUGCCUCAAAGGGGAUGUUUUCUCCUUCUGUUUUGCAGCAGUGAGGAAUAAUUCUCUGAGCUGGGCACUUAGUACUGGACAUGACUGACCCUUUAUCAGCAAGUUCCCAUCUGAUCAAUCUGCCACAUGGUGGAGGAAGAGCCUGGAAGGAUCCCUUUAUUAUAAAAAGCUCUCUGCAGUCAGGCGCUGACCCCUUCUCACCAGCUCUGUGUGGCUUCUGUGACAUCUUCUUCCAAGGAACAGGCUCACUUCACACUCUGUGGCCAGGUUGGUUCAGUCCAGCAACGCAGAGGUCGUGAUGCGACAUAACACGAAGUGAUACCUGGCUGCUGGAUUAUCCCACUCUCUGGUAUCUGCGUUGACUCAAGAGCCUCACAGCUUUAGGCCUGUCAGCCACCAGGAGUGCAGCUAUGCAAAUCUGCUGCAAGAAAAUGAGGUCUAUAAAUAAGAAACACCUUGGGCCUCCACAUCAUUGCAAGGUGUCUGAAAUGCAAGUGGAGGAUCACUCCCAC
Long non-coding RNA from Neopsephotus bourkii (Bourke's parrot), 983 nucleotides. RefSeq lists it as uncharacterized. The record is from RefSeq and is a predicted model, not a curated record. The transcript is spliced from 4 exons. Lineage: Eukaryota; Metazoa; Chordata; Aves; Psittaciformes; Psittacidae.